This is a long non-coding RNA of Tachyglossus aculeatus (Australian echidna), 755 nucleotides long. RefSeq lists it as uncharacterized. NCBI's taxonomy places the organism in Eukaryota, Metazoa, Chordata, Mammalia, Monotremata, Tachyglossidae. The transcript has 3 exons. The record is from RefSeq and is a predicted model, not a curated record.
UUCCCUCUGAUCCAACUCUUUAGGAAGGAAGAUGAAGAGGAUGUUAUUUCCAAGCAGGACCAGUCAAGUGACUGGAAUAAGGAGUGACAUGUGAUUGUGAAGCCCAGUCCGUGAAGAGAUUCUAAGAUGGCAGAAUGCUCGACUGUGAUAACUGCAUAAACAGCAAGACAAGGAGGAAAGGAUGAAGAAGCAAUGAUAAUAAGUGUGACUCCUUGACCUCUUCUUCCUCCCAAACCUUCUGCAGUGGGGCAGGCAUCCUUCCUCCUUUUGGCAUCUCUUCUGAAAGGAGGAUUGAUCAACUGCAGCUGGGGACAAGGAUAAAAGAGGAGGACAGCCAGCAGCCCCUGGAGCUUCCCCUUCAGGGAAGAUAGAACCAACAGCAAAGGAGGCUCUGCCACAGUCUUGGACUCCCAAAGCUUACUGCCCCAGGAUGGAACUUUGGAGAGGAGAGAGACUCCCACCUCCCUGAGGUCAAGUGACAUGGAAGAGAGUUCCUCCUGGAGGUUCCUAUUGGUCAGCUCUGCUCGUUCUGUCAGCACCCAUGAGCUGGACACCAAGAGCCUAUAUCCUGGGGAAAGGACAUGCUGCUGUUCCACCCCAUUACUCCCUUCUCACCGAGAAGUUAUAUCCAGGGAUUCUUCGGCAGGAAAUCCAAUUCCAGCCUCUAACAGUACAAGGGAGGCUAUUACAGUGUCUCAGACCUCUUCCUCCCCUUCUUCUCCCUCCUCUUCCUUUUCCACCUCGUCAUUCUCUUU